UACGAGGGGGGCGAGCGUUGUUCGGAAUUAUUGGGCGUAAAGGGUGCGUAGGCGGUUCCGCAAGUCCUGUGUGAAAUCUUCGGGCUCAACUCGAAGUCUGCACGGGAAACUGCGGGGCUUGAGUGUGGGAGAGGUGAGUGGAAUUCCCGGUGUAGCGGUGAAAUGCGUAGAGAUCGGGAGGAACAUCUGUGGCGAAGGCGGCCACCUGGACCAUGACUGACGCUGAGGCACGAAAGCGUGGGGAGCAAACAGG
RNAcentral lists this ribosomal RNA (253 nucleotides) under uncultured bacterium. Its description in RNAcentral is "partial 16S ribosomal RNA". It matches the Rfam family "Bacterial small subunit ribosomal RNA", at positions 524 to 776 of the family's 1533-position model. The record is from RNAcentral.